GAUGAACGCUGGCGGCGUGCUUAACACAUGCAAGUCGAACGGUGAAGGCGGAGAUUGCUCUGCUGGAUCAGUGGCGAACGGGUGAGUAACACGUGAGCAAUCUGCCCCUGACUCUGGGAUAAGCGCUGGAAACGGCGUCUAAUACUGGAUACGAGCUGCGAAGGCAUCUUCAGCAGCUGGAAAGAAUUUCGGUCAGGGAUGAGCUCGCGGCCUAUCAGCUUGUUGGUGAGGUAAUGGCUCACCAAGGCGUCGACGGGUAGCCGGCCUGAGAGGGUGACCGGCCACACUGGGACUGAGACACGGCCCAGACUCCUACGGGAGGCAGCAGUGGGGAAUAUUGCACAAUGGGCGAAAGCCUGAUGCAGCAACGCCGCGUGAGGGACGACGGCCUUCGGGUUGUAAACCUCUUUUAGCAGGGAAGAAGCGAAAGUGACGGUACCUGCAGAAAAAGCGCCGGCUAACUACGUG
Molecule: ribosomal RNA, 468 nt
Filed under: uncultured bacterium
Lineage: Bacteria
Description: partial 16S ribosomal RNA
Rfam family: Bacterial small subunit ribosomal RNA
Source: RNAcentral